CGAUGAGAUCCCUUCGGGGAAGGAUUAGCGGCGAACGGGUGAGGAACACGUGAGGAAUCUGCCUUCAACACUGGGAUAACUCCGGGAAACCGGGGCUAAUACCGGAUAUGAGCCUUGAUCGCAUGAUCGGGGCUGGAAAGUUUUCGGUUGAAGAUGACUUCGCGGCCUAUCAGCUUGUUGGUGAGGUAAUGGCUCACCAAGGCGACGAUCCGUAGCUGGUCUGAGAGGACGGUCAGCCACACUGGGACUGAGACACGGCCCAGACUCC
RNAcentral lists this ribosomal RNA (268 nucleotides) under unidentified marine bacterioplankton. RNAcentral describes it as "partial 16S ribosomal RNA". It matches the Rfam family "Bacterial small subunit ribosomal RNA", at positions 67 to 339 of the family's 1533-position model. The record is from RNAcentral.